UACAGGGGGUGCAAACGUUGCUCGGAAUUAUUGGGCGUAAAGCGCACGUAGGCGGUUUGUUAUGUCGGAUGUGAAAGCCCUUGGCUCAACUGAGGAAGUGCAUCCGAAACUGGCAAGCUAGAGUAUGUAAGAGGGUCGCGGAAUUCCCGGUGUAGAGGUGAAAUUCGUAGAUAUUAGGAAGAACACCAGUGGCGAAGGCGGCUCACUGGCCCGGUACUGACGCUCAUGUGCGAAAGCGUGGGGAGCAAACAGG
Molecule: ribosomal RNA, 253 nt
Filed under: uncultured bacterium
Lineage: Bacteria
Description: partial 16S ribosomal RNA
Rfam family: Bacterial small subunit ribosomal RNA
Source: RNAcentral